UACGGAGGGUGCAAGCGUUAUCCGGAUUUACUGGGUUUAAAGGGUGCGCAGGCGGAUAUGUAAGUCAGUGGUGAAAUCUCUAGGCUUAACCUGGAAAUUGCCGUUGAUACUAUAUAUCUUGAAUGCUGUGGAGGUAAGCGGAAUAUGUCAUGUGGCGGUGAAAUGCUUAGAUAUGACAUAGAACACCUAUUGCGAAGGCAGCUUACUACGCAGAUAUUGACGCUCAUGCACGAAAGCGUGGGGAUCAAACAGG
This 253-nucleotide ribosomal RNA is filed under the name uncultured bacterium. Its description in RNAcentral is "partial 16S ribosomal RNA". It matches the Rfam family "Bacterial small subunit ribosomal RNA", at positions 524 to 776 of the family's 1533-position model. The record is from RNAcentral.